AGGUAGGACUACCCGCUGAACUUAAGCAUAUCAAUAAGCGGAGGAAAAGAAACUAACAAGGAUUCCCCUAGUAACUGCGAGUGAAGCGGGAAAAGCUCAAAUUUAAAAUCUGGCGGUCUUUUGGCUGUCCGAGUUGUAAUCUAGAGAAGUGUUAUCCGCGCUGGACC
Molecule: ribosomal RNA, 167 nt
Filed under: Cortinarius disjungendulus
Lineage: Eukaryota; Fungi; Basidiomycota; Agaricomycetes; Agaricales; Cortinariaceae
Description: partial 28S ribosomal RNA
Rfam family: Eukaryotic large subunit ribosomal RNA
Source: RNAcentral